Molecule: long non-coding RNA, 2395 nt
Filed under: Lactuca sativa (garden lettuce)
Lineage: Eukaryota; Viridiplantae; Streptophyta; Magnoliopsida; Asterales; Asteraceae
Description: long non-coding RNA (LSAT_LNC004228)
Source: RNAcentral
ACCAUCUAAAGAUAUAGGUGUGGCAUUUUAGACAUUUUUAUCUACGCCUGGUCUAUGAGCCUGUUCGCAUCCCUUUAGCUUUUUGGAAUCUUGAAACAUAAGUUCUCAACAAAUUAAAAAAAAAAGUAUUUGAGGCAUGAAGAUGUAAUAGAGAUGAGUUUAUGGAAACCCCCCCACCCCAAUGUCUUGUUUUUGUGUUUUUGUCAAUUGUAAUGAUUGAAUAGGGAUAUGAUGUUGUAGUGUGCGAUUUUUACCAGUUGCCUCUUGAAUAGAAAACAUUUGCUUGAUCUUGCAAUGCCUGAACAAAAUUUCUUGAGUUUACGGAAGCAAUAUACAAACAUGAGGUAUGCCUAAAUAAAAAUUAGAAGUUUGUUUUUUUCAGAUAGUUAAUGUAUUUGAUUUUGAAGUUUUUGUUAGAAAUUUUAUUUUUGUAAUGUUCAUCAGCCAUCUUAUUCACAUCCAUGUCAUCAUGAGCUUCCCAUCAAUAACUGAAAUUAUAGGCAACUUCUUUAUAUUAAAUAUGCUUUUAAAUCGUUUAGAUUCAAUCUCAAUAUCGGUUCAAGUAAAGAUGUUGCAGUUCUCGACUGCUACAUGUUUGGUACAAACUUCGUAUUGAUUUUUAUUUGUCACUUUUUUGACUUUUGCUGCAUAGUUAUGCAGAGGAAUUUGUACCAUAGUGGAGAGAGAUCAUUAGCUGAAACUCCUUUGAAACAUCAAGAAAGUGGUUCGUAGACUAUCUAGCACAAUUUUUAAUUUAUUUUUACUCACUCGUAGGAUAUUGCGAUUUUAUUUUGUAGGCAAAAAAAAUAUUUGAAUGCUAUACUUUUUGAAAGAUUUUUUACUUAGACUUUGGAUAUGGAUGAUUGUUUUAUUAAUCACUACUUUGUUUGUGAACACAACACUAUUUGUAGGCAUUAUAUACAAAACAUCCGAUUCAAGCUAUAUCAAGAGAUACAAUGACGAAAAAGUUCCAACCGAAAUAUGUCAAUGAUAUUAACUACGGCUUAUCACCACUAAAGGUAAUUAUGGCAAAUCUUGAUACCUUGCACACGGAGACAUUAAAUGUUGUAGUGAAAACAAUAUAUUUUUUAAAUCUUAAAAAUUAAACCUUACAACCAUAUAAAAAAUAUAAUUAAAUUUAGUAAGAAGUAUUGAAAUGAAGAACAUAUAUCAGUUUGAUUUGGCAAGGUAAAAGAAUUUAUUUAUGAAGUAAUGAUUUGAGCACAUAAUGAAUUUCAACUUUGUUCAUAUUUAAUCGUUAAUUUUUUUUUUAUAUUUGAUUUAUUCUUGAUUUAAUUAAAAUUAUUCACAUUUUACUUUUAUAUUCGAUUAAUUUAUGAGUAAUUCAAGUACAAAAAAAAAUUCUUAAAUGUAAACAAAGUUAAAAGUUUGUUACAUUUUCAAUCAUUUUUUCAUAUAUUUAUUCAAAUUAAAAUUUUUUAAACUGUAUAUACUUUUAGAAAAAUUAAAUGAAACAAAAAAUAUUAUUAAAAAUUUUGUUUCUACAAGUUGGAAUUGAAGGACAUCGUCUAUCAUAAUAAUUUUCAUAACAAUGAGGCGACAUGUUCGGACAAUAGCUAUUUUAAAAAGCCAUUCUUAGCCACUACCUCAGAGUUUUCUAUUGUCAGAAUUUAUUUACUUUUUAAUAAUAUUAUGUAAAUAGUUUAUCAUUGUCGCAUAGAUCCAAAUGUUAUUAAAGCAAUAAAAAAAGUAAAACUAUUUUAAAUUACUUGCCUUCUUAAUGAGCACGUUAUCGUUCUAUAUAUGGUUAUAAUUUCUUUAUUUUUAACGUGUCAUAUCGAUCCAAAUGUAUAUUUAAUCAAUAAAAAAAGUCAAACUAUUUUAAAUUAGAUGCCUUUUUUUAAUGAGUACCUUAGAUUGAAAGCACCGUAAUUAGUAGAUAUUAAAAACAACGACUAUAUAUAUGGCCUAGGUUUUAUAUAUUAAAAAUGUGUUUGCCAUUAUGUGUUCAUGCUAGAGCCCUAAUCAAGCUUGCUUUCAACCGAGAUCUAGAUAGGAAAGAGUGAAAGACUAAUCAAAAUGCAUCCAAAACAUUAUUAUUGAUACCAAAAGAAAUUACAAUGAUUUCGCAUCUAAUGAGUACGUACGAGACGUUUGGAUUAUGUUGCCAUGCGUUUGCUAAUUAACUUGUUGAUAUUAUCGAUCAUAUCAUGAAAAUCACAGUUAAUUAAGAACUAACAAUGGAGACAGGUUUUCCGUGAGCAAGUAAUGGAACCAAUCUGUGAUUAGCCAGACCAAAAGUUUCAUCCAUAUUGACGUCCUUUGGCAUUACACCCUGAGGUAGCGACCAAUCAAAUUUCGAUAGAACAGUAGCCAGAACCUUCUCAUUGAUGGCCAUGGCAAAUACCCUUCCAGGGCAACUCCUUCGUCCAGC